Talpa occidentalis (Iberian mole) is the source of this 722-nucleotide long non-coding RNA. RefSeq lists it as uncharacterized. The transcript is spliced from 3 exons. NCBI's taxonomy places the organism in Eukaryota, Metazoa, Chordata, Mammalia, Eulipotyphla, Talpidae. The record is from RefSeq and is a predicted model, not a curated record.
ACUGGAGGGUGGGGCUAAAGACAACAGCUAUACCUCUCCCCUCCCCCAUCAAUUCAAGCUAAACUGUCCUCUUGGCCAGGCCUCAGCCGCAGAAAGAAGCUCACUAAGCUGGACAUGAAACAUCUGGGGAAAAGGAGGAAGAAGUGGGUGGGUGGCUGGCUGAAAAAUCAUGACUUACCCAAGAUCACACAGCCGGCCGGCAAAGCUGGCCUGAGACCAGGUAUCCAGGCUGAUGGAUAUCAGGCAAACUUGAAUGGCUUCUGUUCCCUGGUCAGUGGGAAGCAGAAGGAAGUUAGGAGUUGGGGAGAAAGCAGGCACUAUAAAGGCUGGUGAAGGAGAUGGACUGCAGAUUCAGACAAACAAGCAGCGCUAAGCCUGGUCUCAACUGGAGUCAUUGCCCCUUUGACAUCUCAGCUGGGGUCACAGCUCCAGCCAGGAUGGCAGAAUUCACAACUGCUCCGAGGACAGAGAAGAACAUGGAGGACGGCAGGCCCAGCGAGGCUCAGUGAGCUGGCUACAGUCGCCCAGCACAGGGAGCAGAAAAGCAAUGGGAAGACAAGGGUUCCUCCAGACAGGGGAAAUGAGGCUGGAGAGGGGCAGCCUCUCCCCAGGCCCCCAUCCCAGGUGCACAGGCCCCUGUGCCAUGGCAGCUAAAACCUGAGGUUCUGGCCCAUCUUCCCGGCAAGGCUUUAAGAAUACAUGAAAUUCUCAAUCUCCCUGGC